AGUGAACGCUGGCGGUAGGCCUAACACAUGCAAGUCGAACGGCAGCACAGUAAGAGCUUGCUCUUACGGGUGGCGAGUGGCGGACGGGUGAGGAAUACAUCGGAAUCUACUUUUUCGUGGGGGAUAACGUAGGGAAACUUACGCUAAUACCGCAUACGACCUACGGGUGAAAGCAGGGGAUCUUCGGACCUUGCGCGAUUGAAUGAGCCGAUGUCGGAUUGGCUAGUUGGCGGGGUAAAGGCCCACCAAGGCGACGAUCCGUAGCUGGUCUGAGAGGAUGAUCAGCCACACUGGAACUGAGACACGGUCCAGACUCCUACGGGAGGCAGCAGUGGGGAAUAUUGGACAAUGGGCGCAAGCCUGAUCCAGCCAUACCGCGUGGGUGAAGAAGGCCUUCGGGUUGUAAAGCCCUUUUGUUGGGAAAGAAAAGCAGCAGGUUAAUACCCCGCUGUUCUGACGGUACCCAAAGAAUAAGCACCGGCUAACUUCGCG
Molecule: ribosomal RNA, 492 nt
Filed under: uncultured bacterium
Lineage: Bacteria
Description: partial 16S ribosomal RNA
Rfam family: Bacterial small subunit ribosomal RNA
Source: RNAcentral